AUCUGGACCUGGUCCACCUAUAAGGUCCAGCUGCCUGUGACCUGUGGGCACAUGAAGGGAACACUCGUCCGGGCCAGACUGGCUAAAGGGGAAAGAUGCAUUCUGGUGAAGAACAAGUGGUUUACUCCCGGUGAAUUCGAGAGGUUUGCAGGGAAGGAACGCACCAAGAACUGGAAGCUGAGUAUCCGAUGUGAAGACACCCCUUUAAAAAUUCUGAUAGAGGGGGGGCACCUGAUGCCAGGAAGGUACAAACGACAAAGUAAACA
Nematolebias whitei (Rio pearlfish) is the source of this 266-nucleotide long non-coding RNA. RefSeq lists it as uncharacterized. NCBI's taxonomy places the organism in Eukaryota, Metazoa, Chordata, Actinopteri, Cyprinodontiformes, Rivulidae. The record is from RefSeq and is a predicted model, not a curated record. The transcript has 3 exons.